RNAcentral lists this ribosomal RNA (253 nucleotides) under uncultured bacterium. RNAcentral's name for it is "partial 16S ribosomal RNA". It matches the Rfam family "Bacterial small subunit ribosomal RNA", at positions 524 to 776 of the family's 1533-position model. The record is from RNAcentral.
UACGUAGGGUGCGAGCGUUGUCCGGAAUUAUUGGGCGUAAAGAGCUUGUAGGCGGUUUGUCGCGUCUGCUGUGAAAAUCCGGGGCUCAACCCCGGACUUGCAGUGGGUACGGGCAGACUAGAGUGUGGUAGGGGAGACUGGAAUUCCUGGUGUAGCGGUGAAAUGCGCAGAUAUCAGGAGGAACACCGAUGACGAAGGCAGGUCUCUGGGCCACUACUGACGCUGAGAAGCGAAAGCAUGGGGAGCGAACAGG